CCGCCCACCCCUUUUUAUUGUUAAGAAGAGGAAGAGUCUUUCUUCUUUAAGACUCUUAACCACUUCUUAAAUUCCACCGAUUCCUUAAUUGUCACAUGCCUAAAAUUAAUGAGGAAAUUAUGAGGUACAGAAGAGGAAGAGUUCUUCUAUGUGAGGCCUCUUCUACACCAUUUAAUGCAUCGAAGAAUUAAUUCUCCACAUGAAGAAGUGGAGCGCC
RNAcentral lists this long non-coding RNA (217 nucleotides) under Elaeis guineensis (African oil palm). Its description in RNAcentral is "long non-coding RNA (EGUI_LNC009470)". The record is from RNAcentral. Lineage: Eukaryota; Viridiplantae; Streptophyta; Magnoliopsida; Arecales; Arecaceae.